AUGAUACUAUCUUGCACCUCACUACAUUCUUGACUUGUUAGCAGAUAGAUGGGGUGUAAUGAAACUUGAGUUAGAGUCUGUUUAAAUAUGAUAACAACAAGUCUCUAUUGUCCUUGCAAUUCUAGUUUCAUACAGUAAUACUUAUUCAAAUUUCGAGUUAAGAUUUGGAAAUUCCUGACUGAUGAAGUUUGUGGGUAACUUCACUGCAAACCCUCACGAGACAACACUCGUCCGCUAGGGUAACCUAGGGGUUUAACGGCUUGUUGCACAUGCUAAGUGCAAUCGUAAUGCUCUACGAAAGUGAGUAUUUAUCUUAGGAUAUUUAUAUAAUAAAUAACACAUUUGCUCUCUCAUUUUAUCAUUUUCGCACUGAAUUGCUAGAGACUAGCAAUAAGCUAGUUGGAGGGUGUGAUGAGAGCACAAAAGUGCGACCUACAUGUUACUAAAAUUAGUGUUAUUGCUAACUAAUAAUGAUAAAUUCACUAGAUUAAUAUUAUAUUCGGGUUUAACAUAGAUUAGUAUAAAUUAGAGAUAAAAUGCACAUUGAGUACAAAUUUGACUUCAAAUCGGGUCCGA
Molecule: long non-coding RNA, 576 nt
Filed under: Phoenix dactylifera (date palm)
Lineage: Eukaryota; Viridiplantae; Streptophyta; Magnoliopsida; Arecales; Arecaceae
Description: long non-coding RNA (PDAC_LNC020493)
Source: RNAcentral